RNAcentral lists this ribosomal RNA (467 nucleotides) under Aegla obstipa. RNAcentral describes it as "partial 16S large subunit ribosomal RNA". It matches the Rfam family "Bacterial large subunit ribosomal RNA", at positions 1932 to 2601 of the family's 2925-position model. The record is from RNAcentral. Lineage: Eukaryota; Metazoa; Arthropoda; Malacostraca; Decapoda; Aeglidae.
CGCGGUAUUUUGACUGUGCGAAGGUAGCAUAAUCAUUUGUCUUUUAAUUGGAGACUUGUAUGAAUGGUUGAACGAGAAAAUAACUGUCUCUUUAAAAAAUCUUGAAUUUUACUUUUAAGUGAAAAGGCUUAAAUAAUUUUAAGGGACGAUAAGACCCUAUAAAUCUUUAUAUUAUUUUUCUUUAACUUUCAAAUUAUAUAUUAAAAGAAAACAAAGAAAAAAAUAUUGUAUUGGGGAGAUAAAAAUAUAAUUUUUAACUGUUUAAAGUAUAAAACAAUAAUUUUUGAUUUAUUAAAAAUUGAUCCUUUUUAAAGAUUUUAAGAUUAAGUUACUUUAGGGAUAACAGCGUAAUUUUUUUUGAGAGUUCUUAUCGAAAAAAAAGUUUGCGACCUCGAUGUUGAAUUAAAAUAUCCUUAUAAGUGCAGAAGCUAUAAAGGAAAGUCUGUUCGACUUUUAAAAUUUUACAU